AUCUGGGGUGAGUCUGCACAUUCCUCUAAUCACCUUAAGUCAUUGCAGGUGGGCGGCUCUGGAGAGCGGCCAGCUGCAGUGAGUUUCCCUCAUCGGCUACAUGGGUUUAUAAGGAGCUGGAGAUCACUUCACCUCGCCGGAAGAUUACUCACCUUGGGAAUUCUCACCACGAACCUUUCCUGCAAUAACCUGGUUUUUCAUCUCCAAGCCUGAUCUCCCUCCUCACCAGAACCGACCCGCUCUCCCACCGCUCACCUUCCUUGGAUUUUGGAUUCAUGCUGAAGUUGCUCACCCCAGUCCUGGCUACCCUCCCAAGCUCUGGAUCUCAGCCCCACAACCCAGCCCGGAGCUCUGCUCAGCCUCACCGCCACGUCUGGCGGUGCACCUUUAGUUCUACUUAAAAUAAAACAUUUAUUUUUCCUACCACGUCUCCUAGUGUGAAUUCUGCAUGUCUUGGGUCAGGAAACUUCCCUCGGUCAUGACAGAAUCAGAAAUGUUUUAUUGUCCCAAAAACUGGGAAAUAUGACAUUUGUAAGUGGAUACUGAUGACAUUAUUUCCUAUGAAAGUGUUUCCUAUGUACUUAUCUGUUUUAUUUAUCUACUUUAAAGAGGAUUAAGACUUUCCUUGAGGAACACCAUGACACAGGAUGGGCUGAAUGCUCUUGCCAUGCUCUCCAUGGAAAAAAAAAGCUUGUCACAAACAUUCCUGACUUCAAUAAAAAGCUAAUCGAGAGCUUUGCCACUCAGAAGGACAGAAGGGCAAAAUUUCUGUACAAAUGAGGUAUCACACACACACACAAAUGCAUCCACUUGAUCUUUGUAUAAAGUUGACCUUGGCACAACACUCCAGAAAUAUUUAACAGUGUAAAUUUCUGGCAUUUUGUCUAAGUAGUGUUUACUACCAUUACUGUAACAGUGACCUGCUCAUAAUUUUUCGU
Nothobranchius furzeri (turquoise killifish) is the source of this 938-nucleotide non-coding RNA. The record is from RefSeq and is a predicted model, not a curated record. NCBI's taxonomy places the organism in Eukaryota, Metazoa, Chordata, Actinopteri, Cyprinodontiformes, Nothobranchiidae.